RNAcentral lists this ribosomal RNA (473 nucleotides) under uncultured bacterium. RNAcentral describes it as "partial 16S ribosomal RNA". It matches the Rfam family "Bacterial small subunit ribosomal RNA", at positions 28 to 507 of the family's 1533-position model. The record is from RNAcentral.
GAUAAACGCUGGCGGCGCACAUAAGACAUGCAAGUUGAACGGACUUAAUCGAAAUAUUUAUAUUUUGAAGCGGUUAGUGGCGGACUGGUGAGUAACGCGUAAGGAACCUGCCUAUUAGAGGGGAAUAGCAGUGAGAAAUCAUUGCUAAUACCGCAUAUGCCAUAGAUAUCACAUGAUAACAGUGGGAAAGGAGCAAUCCGCUAAUAGAUGGCCUUGCGUCUGAUUAGAUAGUUGGUGGGGUAACGGCCUACCAAGUCGACGAUCAGUAGCCGGACUGAGAGGUUGAACGGCCACAUUGGGACUGAGAUACGGCCCAGACUCCUACGGGAGGCAGCAGUCGGGAAUAUUGCGCAAUGGAGGAAACUCUGACGCAGUGACGCCGCGUAUAGGAAGAAGGUUUUCGGAUUGUAAACUAUUGUCGUUAGGGAAGAGAAAGGACAGUACCUAAGGAGGAAGCUCCGGCUAACUACGUG